This 839-nucleotide ribosomal RNA is filed under the name uncultured eukaryote. RNAcentral describes it as "SSU rRNA". It matches the Rfam family "Eukaryotic small subunit ribosomal RNA", at positions 635 to 1426 of the family's 1831-position model. The record is from RNAcentral.
CGGUGUUCAACUGGCGUGUCCGCGGGACGUCCUGCCGGUGAGCUCAGCCCGCGAGGGCGGCUCAACUUGAAAUCCCAUCGCGGUGCUCUUCAUUGAGUGUCGAGGUGGGCCGGCACGAUCACUUUUGAACAAAUUAGAGUGCUUAAAGCAGGCUAAAAUUUUGCCUGAAUACUGUGUAUAUGGAAUAAUGGAAUAGGACCUCGGUUCUAUUUUGUUGGUUUUCGGAACCCCGAGGUAAUGAUUAAUAGGAACGGAUGGGGGCAUUCGUAUUGCGACGUUAGAGGUGAAAUUCUUGGAUCGUCGCAAGACGGACUAAAGCGAAAGCAUUUGCCAAAAACGCUUUCAUUGAUCAAGAACGAAAGUUAGAGGUUCGAAGGCGAUCAGAUACCGCCCUAGUUCUAACCAUAAACUAUGCCAGCUAGCGAUCCGCCGACGUCCCUCUGAUGACUCGGCGGGCAGCUUCCGGGAAACCAAAGCUUUUGGGUUCCGGGGGAAGUAUGGUUGCAAAGCUGAAACUUAAAGGAAUUGACGGAAGGGCACCACCAGGAGUGGAGCCUGCGGCUUAAUUUGACUCAACACGGGAAACCUCACCAGGCCCAGACACUGGAAGGAUUGACAGAUUGAGAGCUCUUUCUUGAUUCAGUGGGUGGUGGUGCAUGGCCGUUCUUAGUCGGUGGAGCGAUUUGUCAGGUUAAUUCCGAUAACGGACGAGACUCUGACCUGAUAACUAGACGCACUUGCGGCAUCUCAAAGGUCCGCCGGCGGCUGGCUUUGCGCCCGUCGUCGCGCGCGAUUUUUACUGCCGGCGUACAAUAAAUUCUUCUUAGAGGGACAAGUGG